Oncorhynchus kisutch (coho salmon) is the source of this 2537-nucleotide long non-coding RNA. RefSeq lists it as uncharacterized. The record is from RefSeq and is a predicted model, not a curated record. The transcript is spliced from 2 exons. NCBI's taxonomy places the organism in Eukaryota, Metazoa, Chordata, Actinopteri, Salmoniformes, Salmonidae.
UCUUUUGGACUGUGGCAGCCUCCAGUAGAUGGAAUGAGCCGGCACUCCUCAUUCUCUUCUGGAGAGCCUGAACCCAUGGAGGUACGGGCCACACACCUUUCCUAGGCAGAGUAGCAUCGCCAGAGACAGCUGGGGCUCUGUCCCUGUUGCGGCCAGGAGGGGCACCAGCUUCAGCGUUGUCUGGUGUGUUGCAACUCAGAGUUAGGGCAGAGACGAUUACCUCGUAAUCUUCCAUCUCCAGGGUAGGUGUGAGUUUUCCAUCAUCGUUUUCCACCUUACCCUUUCUGGUUCCCAUUUUACUGGCUGGCUGUCCCUCAAGUGUGGUCUCUACAGCUCUAAUGGACUCCGGGGCCGCAGGGAACUUCAUCGCCCAGGACUUGGCUUACUCCCUGACCAUAAAUUGGCAUCCGCUUUCCUCUCCUUUUCCAGUCCAAGCCCAGGAAAAGCAACCAUUGGGAUCCGGCAUAAUCACACACAUUACAGCACCACUCACCCUCACCAUGGGACCCAUGCACCAGGAAAGCCUUCCCUUCCUUAUCAUAACUGCACAAAGUCAUCAUCACAAAGUCAUCCUUGCCCCCCCCCAUGCCUCCAAUGUCAUAACCCCACCAUCUCCUGGUCGAGGAUAAAAAUCACUGCCUGAAGACCUUCUUUCCUGUAACCUGUGGUUCCACACCAGUUGAGAGUCCCGAAAGUGCCCUCCAGCCCAUCAGUCGGUCCUCCCGUAUCAUUGGCCCUGUGAUUUGUGACGUAGAUGUGGACAUCCGGCAGGCUCUGGGGAAGGAAUCCCCUCCUGCUACCGGCACUCCAGAACGCAUCUAUGUCACCACGGGGGUAAGAGAUCGGCUGUUCACCUGGGCACACGCAUUCCUCGCCUCUGGACACCCAGGUAUCACUUGCACUAUCCAAUCCCUCUCUGAAAAGUACUGGUGGCCCACCUUGGCGCAGGGCAUCGCCUGCUAUGUCAACUCCUGCUCCAUAUGUACCCAAACCGAAUCACCCCGGCACGCUCCAGCAGAGAAACUACUUCCCCUUCCCGUGCCUCAGGGCCCUGGUCCCAUCUGUCCAUAGACUUCGCUCCACAAGGAACUUCCAGCUCCGCCUGCCCUCCCGGAAGCUGAGCCCCCCAGUUUGUGGGGCCCUUCACGGUCCUCCGAAGGGUCAAUGAGGUCGGUGGUUCCCGGUCCACUGGCUGAUGCGUCCCCCAUGACACCACUCCACCUCAACUGAACAUUGAUGGGACCCCUACCUAUGCCGUCAGGUCCCUAUUGGACUCCCGACGUCAGCUUCAGUACCUGGUGGACUGGGAGGGGUGCGGUCCAGAGGAAAGCUGUUGUGUUUCGGACGACGACAUCCUAGACCCCAACAUUGUCCAGGAUUUCCAUCUCCGCCUUCUCAUUGCCCUAGGGCCGUCCUCCUGGUCGGCAUCUUCGGGAGGGGGUACUGUCACACCUACUCCCGCUCCCUCUCUCCAAAACCGGCUCUAUAAGUCAUAGCUACUAUCUAGGUUUAUUAUUAUCAUUUUUUAUUAUAACCGGUGUUGCAAAAGGCCUGUGACAUACCUAGCGUUCUUUUUCUUUGUGGAAAUUGUUAGUUUUUGACUAAAGAAUGUGUAAUGCUUAGGAGAGAUGGUAAUCCAUGAUUCAGAUCAGGAGGAUUGAGAUUGUGAGUCAUUUUCAUAGUCUCACAAAAGGACAAAUGUUCCUGUAUUUGCUGUCACCUCAACUGUUGCUCGUCAGCAACAACCUUAUGAAGUGUUGUUAGUCAGCUGAAACCCUCACUCAUUCAAAGUGACCUUGUUUUAGCAGAAGGGUCGACUUCAGGAGUAAACGUUAUUUAUAAUAAGGGUUACACAGAGAAAAUCGGACAUCUCUGAAAUGGAAAUGGAUGUAUCUACCUUCAGCAAAUUAUAUUUUACCUAAACCUUCACUGAACGCUUGAUAAAAAAACAAGUGACACUCCUCAUGCCCCAACAAUUAUUAAAACAAAGUGGAUAACAGAACAUCCUUACAGUUUAACCUCACCUCUUGGAGACACCAGAGCCUUAGAUAUGCCGUUUCAGAAACUGUUCUUCGUCCUGUCAGCACUACAUGGCAACGCAGGAAUUUUGAUAGCGGACAGGGCUGCGGGCCAGAAGGUUGUGUUUUCACAGACACCUAUGGACAAGAGUAAGGUUGGAAAGAUCUAAUUCAUAGUAAAAGCAUUGCAUGAGUCUAUCAUCGUAUUUGCAGAAAAAUUUGCCAUUAUAAACAAUUCAUGCAACUCUACGGAAUUUUACAUAUUAGCAGAAUAUUUUUUAAUAUUACACAAAUUACUCAAAUUACAGGCUAAGAAUGGACAUGGAGAUAGCCCUAUGUGUUCAUCUUAUCCAGUGAUGACCUGUCAUUCAGGGCAGCUUGGUUUUUCAUGUUUAGCUUUGUUUGAGCCUCACCUAUUUUGCAUGUUAAUCUGGCAAUAUGUGUCACAUAUCAGUUUGCAAACAAUGUACAAAGAAUAGAAAAGAAAAAACAUUAAGUUAAUAAAACCACAUACAAACA